This 464-nucleotide ribosomal RNA is filed under the name uncultured bacterium. RNAcentral describes it as "partial 16S ribosomal RNA". It matches the Rfam family "Bacterial small subunit ribosomal RNA", at positions 339 to 795 of the family's 1533-position model. The record is from RNAcentral.
CUACGGGGGGCUGCAGUGAGGAAUUUUGCGCAAUGGGGGAAACCCUGACGCAGCAACGCCGCGUGAGCGAAGAAGGCCCUCGGGUCGUAAAGCUCUGUCAAGUGGGAAAAAAAUCUUUUGAUCAAUAGUCAAAAGACUUGAUGGUACCACUGGAGGAAGCACCGGCUAACUCCGUGCCAGCAGCCGCGGUAAUACGGAGGGUGCAAGCGUUGUUCGGAUUUACUGGGCGUAAAGAGCGUGUAGGCGGUUUAGCAAGUCAGAUGUGAAAGCCCUGGGCUCAACCCGGGAAGUGCAUUUGAAACUGCUUAACGAGAGUAUGGGAGAGGAGAUUGGAAUUCCUGGUGUAGAGGUGAAAUUCGUAGAUAUCAGGAGGAACACCCGUGGCGAAGGCGAUUCUCUGGACCAAUACUGACGCUGAGACGCGAAAGCGUGGGGAGCAAACAGGAUUAGAUACCCUCGUAGUC